GGGUGAGAAUCCUUUGUUUCGCUCAGUGUCCGCUGUGUACGGCGCAUGUUCUCAAAGUCACGUUCCUCGGACUUGGAGCGUGGAUUAGGUGGUAGAUUUCAUCUAAAGCUAAAUAAAGGCCCAAGACCGAUAGCGAACAAGUACCAUGAGGGAAGGAUGAAAAGGACUUUGGAAAGAGAGUUAAAAGUGCUUGAAAUCGCUGGAAGGGAAGCGAAUGCAACCACACUCUCUGCUGAGAUUGCCGCGGGCGCUUGCAAGCUCUGAGCUCAGAAGCGCAAGCUCUGUGUUUGGCUGUCCGCGGGCGCUCGUGGUGUUU
This 316-nucleotide ribosomal RNA is filed under the name Symbiodinium sp. MB-S06. RNAcentral's name for it is "partial 28S ribosomal RNA". It matches the Rfam family "Eukaryotic large subunit ribosomal RNA", at positions 210 to 536 of the family's 3401-position model. The record is from RNAcentral. Lineage: Eukaryota; Dinophyceae; Suessiales; Symbiodiniaceae.